This 241-nucleotide unclassified non-coding RNA is filed under the name Hevea brasiliensis (rubber tree). The record is from RNAcentral. Lineage: Eukaryota; Viridiplantae; Streptophyta; Magnoliopsida; Malpighiales; Euphorbiaceae.
CGUCGUCGAUGUCGCGAACGAGGUGUGGGGUAGGUAGCUCGCACGAAUGACCCAAAGCGGUCAUUCGUGUGUUUCAAGAUCCCUCAGUGUCCGCUCAGCACCAGCGUCUUGACCGGCAGCAGCAAUGCCUGAAUCCGGAGCAGCAUGGCAUGCACGAUUCCGGUGGCGUCGANNNNNNNNAGCCAGAUGCGUUUACCGGUGCCGGUCUCCUUCGCGGAGAUUACGUCGUGAUUGCUGGUGU